AUCAGUAGCAACGUCCAAAAUUAACAUCUCUUUGUUGCAUUAAACAUCAAUAAGCACUCAAUAAGGAAAUAAAAAAGACAAACAUAUCGAAAUGUAAUGCUUUUAACAUUCAGUGAUUCAGUCCCUAACAAUCACCAACAAUGUAUUAAAAGGAAAAUCCCAUAAAAGUUACCCAAAGUCCAAUAUUUUAUAGCUGUCCCAACAUAAUUUAG
Molecule: unclassified non-coding RNA, 212 nt
Filed under: Hevea brasiliensis (rubber tree)
Lineage: Eukaryota; Viridiplantae; Streptophyta; Magnoliopsida; Malpighiales; Euphorbiaceae
Source: RNAcentral